UACGUAGGGGGCAAGCGUUAUCCGGAUUUACUGGGUGUAAAGGGAGCGUAGACGGCUGUGCAAGUCUGGAGUGAAAGGCAUGGGCUCAACCUGUGGACUGCUUUGGAAACUGUGCGGCUUGAGUGUCGGAGAGGCAAGUGGAAUUCCUAGUGUAGCGGUGGAAUGCGUAGAUAUUAGGAGGAACACCAGUGGCGAAGGCGAUUUGCUGGACUGUAACUGACACUGAGGCACGAAAGCGUGGGGAGCAAACAGG
Molecule: ribosomal RNA, 253 nt
Filed under: uncultured Lachnospiraceae bacterium
Lineage: Bacteria; Bacillati; Bacillota; Clostridia; Lachnospirales; Lachnospiraceae
Description: partial 16S ribosomal RNA
Rfam family: Bacterial small subunit ribosomal RNA
Source: RNAcentral